CCUACGGGAGGCUGCAGUGAGGAAUAUUGGUCAAUGGACGCAAGUCUGAACCAGCCAAGUAGCGUGCAGGAUGACGGCCCUCCGGGUUGUAAACUGCUUUUAGUUGGGAAUAAAAGGGGGCUCGUGAGCCCCGUAUUGUAUGUACCAUCAGAAAAAGGACCGGCUAAUUCCGUGCCAGCAGCCGCGGUAAUACGGAAGGUCCGGGCGUUAUCCGGAUUUCUUGGGUUUAAAGGGAGCGUAGGCCGGCUUUUAAGUCAGCUGUGAAAGUUCGCGGGCCAACCGGUGAAUUGCAGUUGAAAACGGAGGGCUUGCGGACACACAGGGAUGCCGGAAUUCAUGGUGUAGCGGUGAAAUGCUUAGAUAUCAUGAAGAACUCCGAUCGCGAAGGCAAGUGUCCGGGGUGCAACUGACGCUGAGGCUCGAAAGUGCGGGUAUCAAACAGGAUUAGAUACCCGAGUAGUC
Molecule: ribosomal RNA, 462 nt
Filed under: uncultured bacterium
Lineage: Bacteria
Description: partial 16S ribosomal RNA
Rfam family: Bacterial small subunit ribosomal RNA
Source: RNAcentral